AUUGAACGCUGGCGGCAGGCCUAACACAUGCAAGUCGAGCGGAUGAAGGGAGCUUGCUCCUGGAUUCAGCGGCGGACGGGUGAGUAAUGCCUAGGAAUCUGCCUGGUAGUGGGGGAUAACGUCCGGAAACGGGCGCUAAUACCGCAUACGUCCUGAGGGAGAAAGUGGGGGAUCUUCGGACCUCACGCUAUCAGAUGAGCCUAGGUCGGAUUAGCUAGUUGGUGGGGUAAAGGCCUACCAAGGCGACGAUCCGUAACUGGUCUGAGAGGAUGAUCAGUCACACUUGAACUGGAACACGGUCCUGGACCCUAAGGGAGGGCACAGUUGGGAAUAUUGGACAAUGGGCGAAAGCCUGAUCCAGCCAUGCCGCGUGUGUGAAGAAGGUCUUCGGAUUGUAAAGCACUUUAAGUUGGGAGGAAGGGCAGUAAGUUAAUACCUUGCUGUUUUGACGUUACCAACAGAAUAAGCACCGGCUAACUUCGUG
Molecule: ribosomal RNA, 484 nt
Filed under: uncultured bacterium
Lineage: Bacteria
Description: partial 16S ribosomal RNA
Rfam family: Bacterial small subunit ribosomal RNA
Source: RNAcentral